GUUAGGACUUACUGUAUUUGAUUUGUAUACAAAGGCUAUGGGAUUAUAUUUACUCCCUCACAACAGUCCUAUGAGGUAAGUAUAGGACCCCUAUUUCUCAUAGGAGGCUCUGUAGCUUAGACAAGUGAAGCAACAAGCUAAGGUCACAUAUGCUGAGAGAUGAACCAAAGUCUGACCAACUCGGGAUCCUGCCAUGCUAAGUGCUCUUUGUCCUCUACUAACUGCUGACAGUUAAGCUACAUAUUAAAGAAUGAAGAGUUCACGAGCUUUCAACACAACCCUGGAGCAUUCAGACACAACACAGAGAUAAGAGGAAUUGAGAAAUUUGUGAAAAUGGAAAAGAAACUGAUCAUCUGAUCAUGUGUCCAAUCUCUACUACAGGUUUUGAGCUUGAAUUAGGCUCAUAUUGUCAAAAAGAGAGAAGCUUCACUUGCAUGAGAAAUUGAAGUUUUUAUGUUAGAUUUAUCUUCAUCCUUUUUAUGUUGCUAUAACAGAAUACCUGAGACUUGGGAGUUUACAAGAAAAGAGAUUUCUUUAGCUCGUGAUUCUGACAACUGGAAAAUUCAAGAUCAGGCAGCUGCAUCUGGUGAGGGCCCCAUGCUGCUUAAACUCAUGGCAGAAAGUGGAAGGGGAGCUGGCAUGUGCAAAGAGAUGACAUGGUGGGAGGAAGGAAAAGAUUGGAACUGAGGAAGCCAGACUCUUUUUAACAACCUGCUGUCAGGAAAUAAUCCAUUCCUGCAAGAGGAAGAACUCACUUGCCCCCACAGGAGGCCAUUAAUCUACUCAUAAGAGAUCUGCCCAAUAACCCAAAUACCUCCCACUAGGCCCCACCUCCCAACACUUCCACAUUGGAGAUCAAAUUUCAGCAUGAUCUUUGGCAGAGACAAACCAAAUCAUAGCAAGACUGGACUCGGGUUUUUAAAAACUUAUAGAAAUUUUCGAACAUACGAAAAUAGAAUAGUAUAAUGAACUUCCAUGUCCUUAUCACCCAGCACACUACCCUGAUAUUCUACAUAUUAAAAAUUUGGAGCACAAGUAUACUUGACUAUUUUAAUACCUAAAUGUGAUGACUUCAUUUUGAUGUUUAAUCACUGGCAGCUUUCAGGCCCCACGCUUCUUCCUUCCCCUUUUACCUCACCCGGAAGCCAAUAAGAAAGCCUAGGAUUCUCCCUCAUGUGAUUGUACAAAUUCCAUAGGUUUUCUGGUCUCUUUUAGAUGACAUAAACAGUCUUAUUUUUAGUGUUCUGUGGGUGCCCUGUUAGGGAAGGAUCAAUUCCCCACUCAAUAUCAUUUUGGGUAUCAGGACUGAUGGUGUUAUACAUGCACCCAGAGGGUAUGAAUAUUACUCAUAUAAUGAAACUCUAGGGAGAAUAUGGCAGGUAUUCAAGCUCUUCUGGAAUGGCUUGAGUCAAGAGAAGAGCAAGUACUUUGGAUUUUUAUUAUAGUUAGGGGAUGGAGCCUGGGUGAGUUUCACAUAGCUCAGGGAUUACCUCCUCUACCCACAGGCAUCACCUCAGGGUAUCCAUGCUUCUUGUGCCUACACCUUCUCCUGGCUGGCUGAGUGUUCUGGAAGUCUAAGCGCAGAGAGAUAAAAGUUUCUGCAGAGAGCAGUUUCUUCCAGCAGAACAGUGCUGUGCCAGAACACUGAGGCCAGCAGUGGCAUGGCACUUUUCCCAGGAUCAGCUCUCACUGGGAACACUGAAUAUAUAUUAUAAAUUAUACCUUUUCAUAGAUGAAUUUCUAGGAAAAUUUUAUUCCCUAUUUUCAUGAGUUGUUCCUCCCUAACGAUAGAUGUUAAAGGCUCUAAUUGUCC
RNAcentral lists this long non-coding RNA (1813 nucleotides) under Homo sapiens (human). RNAcentral describes it as "HSALNT0108337". The record is from RNAcentral. Lineage: Eukaryota; Metazoa; Chordata; Mammalia; Primates; Hominidae.